Small nucleolar RNA from Mercenaria mercenaria, 196 nucleotides. RefSeq annotates it as small nucleolar RNA SNORA53. NCBI's taxonomy places the organism in Eukaryota, Metazoa, Mollusca, Bivalvia, Venerida, Veneridae. The transcript has a single exon. The record is from RefSeq and is a predicted model, not a curated record.
UCCACAAGCCUUAAAUCCAGUCUUGAGGCCUAUGUCUUUUGUCAGCACUUCCUGUGUUUGAUGAGAGAUAGCUAGCAACCUCUGGUUGUAUGUCAGGAUUGGAUGAGUCAUUCUUGUGGUAAAGUAAUAUACCUUAAUCCUGUGACUGGUAAUUGUAUUGUUCAUCAGACUUUACAUUGUCACUUGUUUGGACAAA